This 390-nucleotide ribosomal RNA is filed under the name uncultured bacterium. RNAcentral's name for it is "bacterial SSU rRNA". It matches the Rfam family "Bacterial small subunit ribosomal RNA", at positions 28 to 416 of the family's 1533-position model. The record is from RNAcentral.
GACGAACGCUGGCGGCGUGCUUAACACAUGCAAGUCGAGCGGUAAGGCCCUUUCGGGGGUACACGAGCGGCGAACGGGUGAGUAACACGUGGGUGACCUGCCCUUAGCUCUGGGUAUAAGCCUCGGGAAACUGGGUCUAAUACCGGAUAUGACUCCAUGACGCAUGUUGUGGGGUGGAAAGCCUUGUGCGGCUAGGGAUGGGCCCGCGGCCUAUCAGCUUGUUGGUGGGGUGAUGGCCACCAAGGCGACGACGGGUAGCCGGCCUGAGAGGGCGACCGGCCACACUGGGACUGAGACACGGCCCAGACUCCUACGGGAGGGCAGCAGUGGGGAAGUCUUGCGCAAUGGGCGAAAGCCUGACGCAGCGACGCCGCGUGAGGGAUGACGGCC